Molecule: ribosomal RNA, 564 nt
Filed under: uncultured Glomeromycotina
Lineage: Eukaryota; Fungi; Glomeromycota
Description: SSU rRNA
Rfam family: Eukaryotic small subunit ribosomal RNA
Source: RNAcentral
UUGGAGGGCAAGUCUGGUGCCAGCAGCCGCGGUAAUUCCAGCUCCAAUAGCGUAUAUUAAAGUUGUUGCGGUUAAAAAGCUCGUAGUUGAAUUUCGGGAUCAGAGUGUCGGUCGUGCCUCGGUACGCACUGGUAUUAUUGGUUCCUACCUUCUGAAGAACCGCGAUGUCAUUAAUUUGGUGUCGUGGGGAAUCAGGACUGUUACUUUGAAAAAAUUAGAGUGUUUAAAGCAGGCUUACGCUUGAAUACAUUAGCAUGGAAUAAUGAAAUAGGACGUUUGAUUCUAUUUUGUUGGUUUCUAGGAUUGACGUAAUGAUUAAUAGGGAUAGUUGGGGGCAUUAGUAUUCAAUUGUCAGAGGUGAAAUUCUUGGAUUUAUUGAAGACUAACUACUGCGAAAGCAUUUGCCAAGGAUGUUUUCAUUAAUCAAGAACGAAAGUUAGGGGAUCGAAGACGAUCAGAUACCGUCGUAGUCUUAACCAUAAACUAUGCCGACUAGGGAUCGGAUGAUGUUAAUUUUUUAAUGACUCAUUCGGCGCCUUACGGGAAACCAAAGUGUUUGGGUUC